Molecule: long non-coding RNA, 1562 nt
Organism: Strigops habroptila (Kakapo)
Lineage: Eukaryota; Metazoa; Chordata; Aves; Psittaciformes; Psittacidae
Exons: 4
Source: RefSeq, a predicted model, not a curated record
GCAGUACCCAAGAAAUAUCAGGACAGUUACAGUGCUCUGCCUUUUGGUUUGGUUGCCGUUUAGAAGCUGCUUCCCACUGAGAUGAAAGGAGAUUCCAGGAAAUAGUUCCUCCUCUCCCUCUCUGGCAGGAAAGGCAUUCUCUCAAAAGUUCCAGGUGGAACAAGAAGAAUGUGAUGGAGCAUGCAUCUGGCAGCGUGACAUUAUUCCUAUGGUGUGCAGUGUGCCCUCCACGUGGAGAAUCACCAUCGUGAUUUCUGCUGCAAUCAUCUAGGUAUGAAGAGUUGUACUGUGUGCACUGAGGAGAGCUGGAAAGGACAAUGGUGUCAUCACCUGAGGGGAAACAAAAAUCAGAAAGAAACAAGGAGGGGAAAUUUUGGCGCUUAUUUUUAGACUCCGUGGAGAGGGGGAGCUUGAGAUUGAAACAUUCUGGUAACAAUUUUCACCAGAUACAUAUUGUAUGUGUUUUAGAAGUAUUUCUAAUCUUAGAAAGAACAAGAGACAGAAUGGGUAAUAGUCUGUUCUGGUGUGCUGGAGAGGUCUAGCCUUUGGUUGCUGUAUAGGACAGGGAAAAAGCUAAAAUUCCCGCUGUACAGUGAAUACGGUGAGCGUAAGGAAAGAAGAUAGCAUCUUACCAAAGGAUCUUCUGGUUUCCUUUAUAAACAGCUAAGAAGCAGCUUUACCACAUCCGUCACUCAGUAUUAAGCAAAGGACCUUUGAGAGGACAAUAGAUGUUAGGCCUACCAAAAUUCUCUUUGACUGCCUUAGAACGUGUCUGUAGUCUAAGUAGCAGUACAAACUAAUACUGCAUUAAAGCCAGAUGGUUCUAGUUAGUCUGCGGUGUUGUCUUUUAAUUUGAUGUGGAGGCAGAAAAGUACAAUAGAGUCUGAGCUUUGCUUUGAGAAACCUGCUUUUGUCACUAGUCCUGAAGCUGUCCUUUUGACUAACUCCAUGUGAGUCAUUUCAUCUCUGCAUCACUCCCAUACUUUGCAAACUCAUCUGCAGAGGGACCGCUUUCUGGCUAUGUUGUACCUUACACAAUAAAGACCAGGUCUCCUUUGACAUGAUUAGAUAUCGCUGUCAUUAAAUUUAAUAAUUUACAUAAAUUUAUGGUCAGAAUAUUCUAAAUAAGGAUCAAGUGCAAAGCCUGUAUUAUAAAUGAAGCAUUAGAAAAGGCAGGAGAGGAGGCCUGAUUUUUGCCUUCGUGUAGAUAGGAGGAGCUAAACUCUGAAGAGAUAAAUGAAUAGUUCACAAACCAGUCUGCAGAACCAUAAAGUAUUAAUUCCUGAGUUCCAAUAAUAUGUGAAGUGUUUUGAGGCCUGACUGUGGCAAAAUAGCACAGAAGUUUGAGAAGAAUCGAGUUGAACAAUAGAUCUCCUCUGCAGAGGACCAUGUGUAGCUUUUGGAAAAGACUUUUGUAAGGCUGUUCAAUCAGCUUAGGUUCUUGGGUAGUUGUUAAUAGAUACAGUUAGAGUCUUGAUUAAAUGCUACAUAUAAUAGCAUUUAAUUUUGGCUAUAUAUUUUUUAGCCUGUCACAGAACACAUCCCAUUGCAGCUUCUUUAAG